RNAcentral lists this ribosomal RNA (305 nucleotides) under uncultured bacterium. Its description in RNAcentral is "bacterial SSU rRNA". It matches the Rfam family "Bacterial small subunit ribosomal RNA", at positions 338 to 640 of the family's 1533-position model. The record is from RNAcentral.
CCUACGGGGGGCAGCAGUGAGGAAUAUUGGUCAAUGGCCGGAAGGCUGAACCAGCCAAGUCGCGUGAGGGAAUAAGGCCCUAUGGGUCGUAAACCUCUUUUGUCAGGGAGCAAAGGCGUCCACGUGUGGACGAGAGGAGAGUACCUGAAGAAAAAGCAUCGGCUAACUCCGUGCCAGCAGCCGCGGUAAUACGGAGGAUGCGAGCGUUAUCCGGAUUUAUUGGGUUUAAAGGGUGCGUAGGCGGAGUGUCAAGUCAGCGGUAAAAUUUCGGGGCUCAACCCCGUCGUGCCGUUGAAACUGACGCC